GGAUUCCCUCAGUAAUGGCGAAUGAACAGGGAUGAGCUCAGCAUUGAAAUCUGGGCCCUCGGCCCUGAAUUGUAAUCUCGAGAUGUGCAACCAACGGAGGCGCAGAUGUAAGCCUCUUGGAAAAGAGCACCAGCGAGGGUGAGAGUCCCGUUCGUCAUUUGCAGUCCCCCGUGUACGGUGUACUUUCUAAGAGUCACGUUCCUCGGGCUUGGAGCGCCAAAGGUGGUAAAUUUCAUCUAAAGCUAAAUAUAGGUUUGAGACCGAUAGCAAACAAGUACCAUGAGGGAAAGAUGAAAAGGACUUUGGAAAGAGAGUUAAAAGUGCCUGAAAUUGCUGAAAGGGAAGCGAAUGGAACCAGUGUUUCUUGGCGAGAUUGUUACACGCUAAAUUGAUGGUCGGUUGCUUCAACGCAAGUGNUGCAGCUGGCUCUGAAAUGGACGUGUGUGGUGCUUCUUGCCUUGCCUGUCAACGUCAAUUUGGAGUUGAGGAAAACUCAAGGGACAUGGUAGUUUGCCCACGGGUGACCGAACGUGCCUUGUAGAACUCAUCUUUGGAUUGAAGACCUCGUGUCCGGUUGCAACGCCCUCCUCUCGGGCUCUCAGCCUUGGGAAACUCAGCUUGGCAGCGGCCCUCCUUGUGGGGGAGCGUUCCUUGACACGAAGAUGGUGACAAAAUGGUUUCACUCGACCCGUCUUG
Molecule: ribosomal RNA, 696 nt
Filed under: Gyrodinium cf. ochraceum AR-2015
Lineage: Eukaryota; Dinophyceae; Gymnodiniales; Gymnodiniaceae
Description: LSU rRNA
Rfam family: Eukaryotic large subunit ribosomal RNA
Source: RNAcentral